RNAcentral lists this long non-coding RNA (530 nucleotides) under Pongo abelii (Sumatran orangutan). RNAcentral describes it as "lincRNA". The record is from RNAcentral. Lineage: Eukaryota; Metazoa; Chordata; Mammalia; Primates; Hominidae.
ACUUUCUAGUUCUUAAUAUUUGUCUUUCUGAAUAAUAGUUUAAAGCAAUAUUUGUUAAAGUUUUCUUGCACUAUCACAAUUGCUUUUUAGUUAUUUCUCAAGAAGCAUGUUCGUAGUAGAGACAAAAUCUGUGUAACAGGAGGGAGAAUAGCGCCAAGUCUCUGGGCUAUUUUUUAUUUUUGCAAAUGUGCUUUCUAAUAGCCAUUGCCUUCCAUGUUGUUUACCUAAUCAGCACAUUUUGUCUGAAUACUUGAACAUUUUAACAGUAACGCAGGUAUAGAAUCAGAAAGGAAACUUAUGCAGAGUAAUAUUUUGGUUCAGUUUUAACAUCGUGACAAUGAGGGCUUUUUCUAGCAAUGAUUUUUAAAUUGUAUAAGUUUGACAGUAUUUUAUUGUUGGGUUUUUAUUUGGUUUUAGUUGUGUGCUUUUCAUUUGCAGAAGUUAGUAACUGCAGCUCACCUACUGCACCAAAGUUCUUGAUUUUAGGAGCCCAGCUUUAGUCAUUUGAACAUGCUUCUAAAUAAAAUAAA